Molecule: ribosomal RNA, 468 nt
Filed under: uncultured bacterium
Lineage: Bacteria
Description: partial 16S ribosomal RNA
Rfam family: Bacterial small subunit ribosomal RNA
Source: RNAcentral
GACGAACGCUGGCGGCGUGCUUAACACAUGCAAGUCGAACGGAAAGGCCCUGCGUUUGUGGUGUGCUCGAGUGGCGAACGGGUGAGUAACACGUGAGUAACCUGCCCUUGACUUUGGGAUAACUUCAGGAAACUGGGGCUAAUACCGGAUAGGAUCUCCCGCUGCAUGGUGGGGGUUGGAAAGUUUCGGCGGUUGGGGAUGGACUCGCGGCUUAUCAGCUUGUUGGUGGGGUAGUGGCUUACCAAGGCUUUGACGGGUAGCCGGCCUGAGAGGGUGACCGGCCACAUUGGGACUGAGAUACGGCCCAGACUCCUACGGGAGGCAGCAGUGGGGAAUAUUGCACAAUGGGCGGAAGCCUGAUGCAGCAACGCCGCGUGCGGGAUGACGGCCUUCGGGUUGUAAACCGCUUUCGCCUGUGACGAAGCGUGAGUGACGGUAAUGGGUAAAGAAGCACCGGCUAACUACGUG